AUUAUUAACCACAUAUCUCUAAGAACUGUGAAUAUUUUUUGGCCUUCUUGCUGGGAGAUCUGCUCUCCUUCCAAAAUUGUGCAUGUUUGCAACACUGCCAGCAAUUUAUGCACUUAAAAUAUACAAAAAAGCAAGUUGUUAUUACAACUAACCUUCUUACAUGAACACUGAAGUAAGUCAUGUGCUAGUCCUAAAUAAGCAAAUUAGAAAAUUACAUUAUCUCACUUCAGAGCUAUGGAAGCUGAACAAAGAGUUCAAAGAUGAAAUUAAGGUCAUAGCCAUCUCAAGCUAAUUCAAAGAUUGUGUUUUCUCUCAGCAAACAAUGUAUUUUCUUAUGUUCACUCUCAGUUUGUUCUUCAUACAUUUUUCAUGAGAAUUCAAGAGGCCGAUUACAGUACACACCUACCUUUUUUUCUUUUUUUUUUAAAUCAACUUGCAGGUUGCUUUGAAAAGUCCUCCUGUCUGUGACAGCCAUACAGCAGGCUACCUGCAGCCACACUGUUCCCUGUGCUUGGGAGUGUUGUGCUGGAGGCAGGCAACUGCAGAAACCAGGAUGCCCUGCUUCCUUGCAUGACAAAAUGUGACAGUGUAAACCUGUAUAAAUAUGGGAUAAGUGCUGGUUCACUCAUCUGAGCUCCUCAGUUAAGCAUUUGUUAAGUGUUUGCAGGUGGUAAUCCUUCAGAGCAAAGUGCUGAGGCAGUUGAUGACAAAAGGAUUUGGACUGCUGAGUUCAUGAAGCAAGGUGAAUGACUUUACCACUAGAAGGUUUCCUCAUUUCACAGGAUUGGUUUGUGUUGAGCCAGAUCUCACCAAGUUGCUUCUGUGGUGACUAUUUCUAUCUAAAGAUGCAUGGAUGCAUUUAUUUUUUCAGCUUGUUCUACCAGUAUCAACCUUUGUGUCCAAUAGCUGGGACAAAGAAAGAAGUUAAACCUCAUCAAAAUGAAAUAGUGCCUUAUAUGAGUGUUGAGCAGAAAGGCAAAAAACAUGAAAUGAGUUCAGAAGAACAUUGCAUGCCUCAAAAGAAGAUAAGCCUGGAAAGUAAACCUACGUUGUCUUUCCCAAAAUGAAGAAAACAAGCUGGCUUGAAAUUACUUAUUCCACUCUAAGACAAACAGGAGACCAUGGAGACAGAUAAGACCAUGUUUUCAGCAGUCACCAAGGAGGAAAAAUGCUGGUGAGAAGAACACUUAAAAACAGAAGGCAGGAAAGAAGAGAGAGGUUAAAAUUUUGGAAGUGCUUUCUUUGAAUAACUUAUUUAACCCUUUAAAACAGGUGCCAUAACUUUCAGCUCUGUCAAGCCAAUUUAGGUAUCCUAGUAUAUGCUUAGGAAUGUCAUUAAAACAUUUUUGUAUAGCUCAAAAAAUAUUUCUGGAGAUUGCAGGAGAAACUUAACUACUCCUAAUUACAUUUUGAUCACUAUAAGAGUUAGAGAAACAGUGAGCCAGCUAGGACAUACUGAAUCAAGUUUAAUCUACAAACAUGCCUUGAGAAAAGGCUUUUUCUAGGGCUUGAAGUAUAAAAUACAAAGAUUUAACGAAAUCCUGAUGCUGCUGUUUAUGCAUGUGUUGGUUGGCUCCAGAGGUGACCAAGCAGACAGGAGCAUUACAGAGACCAGGUUUCAUCCUUAUUACAGAUAAGCCUGAAGUCACCAUCCCAGUGGGUCUGAUCUGCAUUUCCCUCAGACAGCAAUGGAGCUUUUUGCUACAGAAACCUUUCUGUCUUGUUUUCUCAGUAGUCUGUCAUGCAAUUUGGCUGCCGGAGAUUGAGUGGACAAGCUAGACUUGCAGGGGGCAAAUCCAUGCCAUGGAGAAACACUCGAGUAUGCAAGGCACUUCCUGUGGUGGAUGUCACACUAGAUCUAGACACUGAGAGUAUGUGUCAGUUGGUAUGCCUCACAGGCAUCUGGUGAACUUUGCUUUGGGGCUGCUUUUACACUGCUGUCUCAUUAUAGCUGGAAACUGUCUCCACUCAACCAUAACUGAUUGGAGGUUCAGUGAGUGUGGUGUGAUAAAUUGCUGCUAGGUUAGAGGUCUUGUAUCUUCAACAUUUAUCCACCUUGGUGUGAAUGACUAUAAAUACCGCAAAGCAAUGAGAGCUCUGAUUUCAAAGAGGACUGCCUGUAUGAACAAGGCAUGCAGGACCUGCCUCGGUGUGAACUUUUAAGCAAGGAGGCAUUUUAUAUUAAACUGUCCUUACCAUCAGCUAAUCUUAUUCUUGCUAUGGGAAUUCAGUUGCGAACUGACCCCAGUACAUAAUGCUAUACAUAAAUUACUAACAGAACUUUGAAGUUAUUUCCACAUUUGCAGAGGAAGAUAAAAAGUAUGUCCUAAGGGGAUUCUAGACAGACAUGUUUUGGAAAUUAAAGCAAAUAACAAGAAAGAGGUUCAGUAUCCAAGAGAGCCUUGUAGCAAGGAGGACAAUAGUAACAAGGAUUCAGAGUAUCAAUCAUGUCAGAGUAUUCUAAUAGGCUAAAUGGUCUCCCUGCAUAGUUACAUGUAAGUACGUGUUUAUAUAUUGAUAGAAGUGUGCACUUUUACAUGUAUGCAGAUAGAUAUGUAAAGAAAACCAGGGGUAUUUUUGGUUAUGAGGCUAUUCAUAUUUGAACAUUUUCAAGGUUGUGAGUAUAUGAAAGUUGUUAAAUAGCUAUUUCCCCUGUGUAGGUAAUAGCUGUCAGUUAUGCCAUCCUAACAAUGACCCCCCAUCAGGUUUCACACAAACAAGUCAUCAUGCAUUUUGUAACAAUUUCUAAAUGUAAAUUAUUUACGUAGAGAAUUCUUUCUGCUUAGUUGGGUGGCUCCAGAGGUUUAUGAAUACUUUAAUAUUUGAAAUAAAUAAUUCAUGCCCAUUUCCUUUUUAAUCUGGUCCUAAGAAAUCCUUUAAUAUUCAGAGUAAGCAUAUUUUAGGGAUUGUGGGCAUUUCUUGAAUGUAGGUAGGAUGAUUCACAAAAGUUAAGGCCUUGCUGUAGUGAUGUUCUUAAGUCACAGUCUUAAUUUUGAGGACGUUUUUAAUCCCAUCCAAUUUGUUAAAAGGCCCAGCACAAGAUCGUGCUGAAUUCCAUGGGAUUUAGUAUGUGCUCAAGUGCCUUCCUGAGCCUUAACUCCUGCUGAGCUUCUACAGCCUUUCAAAAUCCUCCCCGAAGGCAGGUUCUGUGCUGCAGACAGAACAGGCUGUAAGUGCUGUGGCAGACUUUCUUAUGUUGGCUUGAUGCUGCUUGCAGCUGAUCCAGCACUGCUCCUGCUUUGGGGGAGUUUAGAGGAGGAGAGAGUGCAUGGACUCACACUCAGGUUUCCCUGGUCCUAGCAUUUCUCAUAUGCAAAUCUCAUUCUCAUAGGGAGAGAAUCCAUCAGGUGUCAGCAAAUCACACUGAGAAGAAUUUGCAUCUCUGAAACUCAGCACUUCAUCUGUGCAGAUCAGGACAAACAGGCUUUCACUUUUGCACUAUUUUGGGCAUGUUUAUUCAAUUAGAAAUGAGCUCAGGCUACACAUGAUGUGUUUCUAUGAUAGUAACUAUCCAUUUGCUGUGUUUUUCAGGCAUUAAUAAUAACUUACACCAAAGGAAUCCAAGCUGGAUUUGCAGUACUAAGUGGGAAUUCAACUUAAUUUCAUAAUUGGAAAUGCAGCUAUUAUCCUUUUAUUGGUGAAAUUAGUUUUGCUUUUUUUUUUUCACCGUGAAUCCUUUCUACAUGUUCUAAACAUCUAUGUUCUGCUUUUUUUUUUUUUUUUUCCCUUACGCUUAUUUUGUUGCCUUUAUGCUUUUUCUAGCCUUUGACCAAUUUUUUGUUUUGUAUCUACAGUCU
This is a non-coding RNA of Coturnix japonica (Japanese quail), 3797 nucleotides long. NCBI's taxonomy places the organism in Eukaryota, Metazoa, Chordata, Aves, Galliformes, Phasianidae. The record is from RefSeq and is a predicted model, not a curated record.